AUCUAAUGGCUGAUGGGUGGAGCUUAGGUGGGAACAGAAGGAAAAUGUUAUGAAAGUCGUGGGUGAGCCUGUACUGUGUGCUUAGUAAGGGGGAACUGGGCUUCUACAAGGACUCCAAGGGCCCGGCAUCUGGGAGCACACACGGUGGGGAACCGCUGCUCAGCCUGCACAAGGCCACCAGUGAGGUGGCUAGUGACUACAAGAAAAAGAAGCAUGUCUUCAAGCUCCAGACCCAGGAUGGCAGUGAGUUUUUGCUCCAGGCAAAAGAUGAGGAGGAGAUGAACGGCUGGCUGGAGGCUGUGGCUUCCUCCGUGGCGGAACACGCAGAGAUGGCCCGCUGGGGCCAGACACUACCCACUACUUCAUCCACAGAUGAGGGCAACCCUAAGAGGGAAGGCGGAGAUCGCAGGGCCAGUGGGCGCAGGAAGUGACUUCCCACCCCCAGGACCUGACACAUGUCGUCUCCCCUCUUUUCCGCACUGUGGGCACAAAGACACUUUUUCUUCCGCAGGGGCGGGAGCCCCU
Molecule: small RNA, 525 nt
Filed under: Pongo abelii (Sumatran orangutan)
Lineage: Eukaryota; Metazoa; Chordata; Mammalia; Primates; Hominidae
Description: processed transcript
Source: RNAcentral